This 462-nucleotide ribosomal RNA is filed under the name Limnellia quadrata. RNAcentral describes it as "partial 16S ribosomal RNA". It matches the Rfam family "Bacterial large subunit ribosomal RNA", at positions 1852 to 2573 of the family's 2925-position model. The record is from RNAcentral. Lineage: Eukaryota; Metazoa; Arthropoda; Insecta; Diptera; Ephydridae.
GUCUAACCUGCCCACUGAUUUUUUAACGGCCGCAGUAUUUUGACUGUGCAAAGGUAGCAUAAUCAUUAGUCUUUUAAUUGAAGGCUUGUAUGAAUGGUUGGACGAGAUAUUAACUGUUUCAAAUUAAUUUAUUAUAAAACUUUAUUUUUUAGUCAAAAAGCUAAAAUUCAAUUAAAAGACGAGAAGACCCUAUAAAUCUUUAUAAUUUAAUUAAUUUUAAUUUAAUAGAUUAUUUUUAUUAUUAUUAAUUAAAUUAUUUUAUUGGGGUGAUAUUAAAAUUUAAAAAACUUUUAAUUUUUUAAGUCAUUAAUUUAUGAAUAAUUGAUCCUAUAAUAUGGAUUAACAGAAUAAGUUACUUUAGGGAUAACAGCGUAAUUUUUUUGGAGAGUUCUUAUCGAUAAAAAAGAUUGCGACCUCGAUGUUGGAUUAAGAUAUAAUUUUAGGUGCAGAAGCUUAAAUUUU